CAACCUGCUUACAUUGGAUCUAAUUUUCAACUCAACUUCUAUAUCUUAACUAAUAAACAAACUCCUGACAGUGAGGUAAACAUCUACUGCAAAAAGAAUGAACAGACUGUUCUGAAUGUCACGGCAGGGAAUAUAAUCUAUGGCCCUCGGUUUGAGAACUGGGAUUCUGGGUCCAACGAUGCUUACAGACAGGGACACAUUUCCCUCCCCCUCACUGACCUACGCCGUUCUGAUCAGGGGACAUACCUGUGUUUCUUCGGCCCUGACCACCAGAGAGGAAAUCCAGAAGCUGUUACUGUCACUCCCAAAGAGAAGCACUGCGACGACACAGGAAGGCCAACAAUGGUGGUGGUGGUUGUUUUGGUGUUCAUCCUAGCUGCUGCUAUUUUCUAUUUUCUUGGAGGUAAAUUAAAAGAAAAAAUGGCUGCGUGGUUCAAAGGGAAUUGUUUGAGAUCUCAAGUCAGUGGCUGUCCAGAAGCGUAUCGGGAGCACAGCCAGUGAAGCCGCCGAAUACCUCUAUUGCGGCUUUAGCUCCUUUAGGCUCGGCGGCCAAGAGUCUUAUACUUCCUCAGUGUCAGAAGGCCGCCCCAACUACGCGCACUAUGCAUCCGCCCCGACUACACACACACUACAUCCGCCCCGACAACACACACUGUGUGCUGCAACAGUCGUCUCUCUCUACUCUCUACUGGACUCCGCUACCAGCCACCAGCAUGUCCUACAGCACCGUCCUGUCUCUCUCUACUCUCUACUGGACUCCACUACCAGCCACCAGCAUGUCCUACAGCACCGUCCUGUCUCUCUCUACUCUCUACUGGACUCCGCUACCAGCCACCAGCAUGUCCUACAGCACCGUCCUGUCUCUCUCUACUCUCUCCUCCGCUACCAGCCACCAGCAUGUCCUACAGCACCGUCCUGUCUCUCUCUACUCUCUACUGGACUCCACUACCAGCCACCAGCAUGUCCUACAGCACCGUCCUGUCUCUCUCUACUCUCUCCUCCGCUACCAGCAUGACUUCCACACUUCAUCGGUUUCUCUCUCUACUCUGCCACCGCUGCCAUCCAGAGGGAGGUACAGGACAGUCGGGCAGGCUGACUGUGUGGAGGAAGGACAGCAGGAAUACCAGGGGAGGAGCAGUCCAUUCUCGGGUAACGUUAUGGAGGAGGAGUCUAGAGGCGGAGCCAUCAUUUAAGGGGAGGAGUCACAAUCUUACCCAUUUAUAACUAAGCUGUUUGCUGAGAAAGGACAACUAUAACUAACAUGUUUGCUGAGAAAGGAAGGGACAAGGAAGCUGCCAACACUAACAAAGUAGCCUGAUGCCAGAUUGAGUGCUUGAGCAUUGCCAAGGAGAACUACCUUGGCCCCGAACCCCAGCCUCCAACAGACAGCCCGGACUCCUGGACUCCAACAGCCUUCCCCGGACUCCAACAGCCAGUCCGGACCACCAGAUCCC
Molecule: long non-coding RNA, 1454 nt
Filed under: Salmo salar (Atlantic salmon)
Lineage: Eukaryota; Metazoa; Chordata; Actinopteri; Salmoniformes; Salmonidae
Description: lncRNA (ENSSSAG00000094467.1)
Source: RNAcentral